AUUGAACGCUGGCGGCAGGCCUAACACAUGCAAGUCGAAUGGUAACAGGAAACAGCUUGCGGUUUCGCUGACGGGGGGCGGACGGGUGAGUAAUGUCUGGGAAACUGCCUGAUGGAGGGGGAUAACUACUGGAAACGGUAGCUACUGCCGCAUAACGUCGCAAGACCAAAGAGGGUGGGCUUCGUGCCUCGUGCCAUCAGAUGUGCCCGGGUGGGAUUGGCUAGUAGGUGGGGUAAGGUCUCACCUAGGCGACGAGCGCUAGCUGGUGUGAGAGGAUGAGGGGCGGCACUAGAACUGAGCCGCGGUCCAGGCGCCUACGGGAGGGAGCAGAGGGGAACGUUGGGCAGCAGGCGCGAGCCUGAUGCAGCCAUGCGGCGUGUAUGACGAAGGCCUUCGGGUUGUGAAGUACUUUCAGCGGGGGGGAAGGGAGUACAGUUGAUACCUUGGCUCAGUGACGUUAACCGCAGAAGAAGCACCGGCUAACUACGUG
This 490-nucleotide ribosomal RNA is filed under the name uncultured bacterium. RNAcentral describes it as "partial 16S ribosomal RNA". It matches the Rfam family "Bacterial small subunit ribosomal RNA", at positions 28 to 507 of the family's 1533-position model. The record is from RNAcentral.